Oxyura jamaicensis (ruddy duck) is the source of this 147-nucleotide long non-coding RNA. RefSeq lists it as uncharacterized. Lineage: Eukaryota; Metazoa; Chordata; Aves; Anseriformes; Anatidae. The record is from RefSeq and is a predicted model, not a curated record. The transcript has 3 exons.
GUCCCCAAUCCCUCGGAGAAAGAGACAGGUAUGGGAUGGAUUCACAUUGCAAAGAGGGGACAGCGAUGGUCCCCUCUUUGCCUCCACUCCCAGGUGGAGAUAUCCCCUUGUGUAGGGCCCCAUCAGGUUGCUGAGGGGUGCUGGGGC